UCCGAGUUGUCCCCGGCAGUCCCUCUAGAGUCCCCGGCAUUACCCGCUGGCAACUAGAAGCAGGGGUUGCGCUCGUUGCGGCGCUUAAGCCAACACCUCACGGCACGAGCUGACGACAGCCAUGCAGCACCUGUGCAAGCUCCCCUUGCGGGGUCGUCCCACUUUCAUGGUCCUACCACUUGCAUGUCAAGGCCAGGUAAGGUUCUUCGCGUUGCAUCGAAUUAAGCCACAUGCACCACCGCUUGUGCGGGCCCCCGUCAAUUCCUUUGAGUUUCAAUCUUGCGAUCGUACUUCCCAGGUGGAUCACUUAAUGCUUUAGCUCAGACACCAACAGUAUAUCGCUGAUGUCGAGUGAUCAUCGUUUAGGGCGUGGACUAC
Molecule: unclassified non-coding RNA, 378 nt
Filed under: uncultured bacterium
Lineage: Bacteria
Description: contains 16S-23S intergenic spacer region
Source: RNAcentral